AUUGAACGCUGGCGGAAUGCUUUACACAUGCAAGUCGAACGGUAGAGGGGGCAACCCCUCGAGAGUGGCGAACGGGUGAGUAAUAUAUCGGAACGUGCCCAGUCGUGGGGGAUAACGUAGCGAAAGUUACGCUAAUACCGCAUACGAUCUACGGAUGAAAGCGGGGGACUCGCAAGAGCCUCGCGCGAUUGGAGCGGCCGAUGUCAGAUUAGGUAGUUGGUGAGGUAAAGGCUCACCAAGCCAACGAUCUGUAGCUGGUCUGAGAGGACGACCAGCCACACUGGAACUGAGACACGGUCCAGACUCCUACGGGAGGCAGCAGUGGGGAAUUUUGGACAAUGGACGCAAGUCUGAUCCAGCCAUUCCGCGUGCAGGAUGAAGGCCCUCGGGUUGUAAACUGCUUUUGUACGGAACGAAAAGGUUUCUCUUAAUACGAGGAGCUCAUGACGGUACCGUAAGAAUAAGCACCGGCUAAACUACGUG
Molecule: ribosomal RNA, 483 nt
Filed under: uncultured bacterium
Lineage: Bacteria
Description: bacterial SSU rRNA
Rfam family: Bacterial small subunit ribosomal RNA
Source: RNAcentral